Non-coding RNA from Pecten maximus, 72 nucleotides. The record is from the annotation of a RefSeq genome assembly. Lineage: Eukaryota; Metazoa; Mollusca; Bivalvia; Pectinida; Pectinidae.
GUCCAGGUAGCUCAAUUGGUAAAGCACCCGACUAGUGAUCGGAGGUCCCGGGUUCGAACCCCGGUCUGGCCG